CUCUGUUAGGUUAAGCAGCCUCAAGCUCGGGUAGUACUCGGGUGGGUGACCACCGGGGAAGUCCGGGUGCUGUCUACUUU
Molecule: ribosomal RNA, 80 nt
Organism: Phytophthora infestans T30-4
Lineage: Eukaryota; Oomycota; Peronosporomycetes; Peronosporales; Peronosporaceae
Source: RefSeq, a predicted model, not a curated record